Molecule: long non-coding RNA, 1291 nt
Organism: Gasterosteus aculeatus aculeatus (three-spined stickleback)
Lineage: Eukaryota; Metazoa; Chordata; Actinopteri; Perciformes; Gasterosteidae
Source: Ensembl
UAAAUUUCUCUUUCCGGGUACGACACCCGGCUUGGUGGAGAACCGGUGACGUCAGCGAGGCGACACAAGCAGAAUGCAAGAAUCUGAAACUGUCGCUGUGUACUAUAAUGGGAUCAGCUGCCCUGGACAGACCCUCCUGUGACGGUUGUUUAUAGGUCACCGUGACGGCUCGCCAGAGGAAUCAGGUGGUGUUCCAAGUCUUUUGCAUUGAUGUGUGUAAAAGACGACAUCCAAAGCUGUGUACUCGGAUGAGACUGUCUCCCAUCGUGUGCACAAAUAGCAACGCGUCUGUUGACAUUUAGUGUGAUACUGAAAUGUGACACAGGACAGCGGCUCGCUGCUGACCUGUUGUACACCAGUGCCUAAACUCAGUAUCACUGUUAAAUGAUUUGGUCAUUUUAGUCACAGGUCUGACAAAAACACGCCUUAAAUAAGCACUUAAACGCUGCUACAGAUGUGGGGCAUUAUGGAUUUGAUAACAGGUUUGAUAAUUAACAUUAUUUCAAAGCGACAUGGAGCCGCUAAUCCACCAGUCAGAAAACAGUACGAUUGCAUAAUACAAUAUACAUUAGUCAAAACACAAAAUAAGAUCAGACGUGUAUGAAAACUGUUAUUGAGCACUCGACCUAAAAUAUAACCCACCUUUGUAGCAAUGUUUUGGAUCGAGUUACUGUCAAAGUCCAGCACGUGUUACUGAAGUUACUCUUUAGGAAUGAAUGAAGGUAACACAGUCAAUGUCUUUUUCUGUAUCAUCUGUAGCCCUGAAACAUGUGUCUUAUUACUAUUGUUUUUCUAUGUCUUAUUGGCCCUCCCUAUCCUUAGAAAUGAUCUGAUGUUCUUUUAAGCACAAAUAAAUCUGUAUUUUGAUUUAACUUUGCGGUUCAUUCAUUAAAAGCGUUAAUAAGAGCGUUACCUCGGCUGUAGUUGCAGGCGAUAAACUUUAAAGCUAAUAAAGCUACUGGCUUGAAUGGAAGAGACCGCUACAACGCUCAAUAAGGCUUCAACUUACUUAUUUUCUUCAUUGCAGGUGGAUAGUAAGCAUCUUAAUUUCCCAGGGCCAAUGUAUUAUUUCUGAGGUCGUGUUUUAUGAGCCAACAGCAAAUGUUUUUAUCAUGCAUGACAAAAAGCAGUAAAUCCUCACAUUUACAGAGCUAGAGCCACAGCUUGUUCUGUGCCUUGACCACCAGAUGGCGGUAGAACAUCACGUCUCAGUGACUUGACACAUGUUGACAGCAGCAGCAGAGGGAUUCUCAGAGGGAGUCAUGACCUUGUCUAAAAUAUACAAAUCAAC